Molecule: unclassified non-coding RNA, 279 nt
Filed under: plant metagenome
Description: partial contains small subunit ribosomal RNA, internal transcribed spacer 1, and 5.8S ribosomal RNA
Source: RNAcentral
UCUCCGUAGGUGAACCAGCGGAGGGAUCAUUACCGAGUUCAUGCCCUACCGGGUAGAGCUCACACCCUAUUUUGUUGUUACUUUGUUUCUUUGGCCGCCCGGUAGGCUCCGGCGCGACUCCCGACGCCCCCUGACAAGCGCUCGCCAGAGGCCCCAAAGCCCUGCAUACAAGUAUCGCCAGAGUUCUAAAUAAUGAUUAAAACUUUCUACAACGGAUGUCUUGCGUAUGGCAUCGAUGAAGAACGCGGCAGAACGGAAGACCCCGCGUGUGAACUCCAA